AUGGCCGUGGUGACGACGUUGGCAACUGCGGCGGUGCCCGAGGCUGAGCCAAGUGCGGCGGCUUCUGUCAGAGUGGCCGAUAAACCAGAUGGAGACAGAGCUACCAAGUGGGCCCGUAAGAAGGAGAAGAUGUUGUAUUAUUGCUGUGGUGAGCAGGGGCACUUUAUUGCUGAGUGCGUUACUGAGCUUUGUGACACCUGCCUCAAGCCGGUGCACGCUAUGGGGGAGUGCCCGCUAUUGCAUGAACCGUUGCCGGGAGUUACCAUCUAUGGAGUGUGCUGUUGGAAAUAUGCCCUAGAGGCAAUAAUAAAAGGAUUAUUAUUAUAUUUCCUUGUUCAUGAUAAUUGUCUUUUAUUCAUGCUAUAA
This 366-nucleotide ribosomal RNA is filed under the name Triticum aestivum (bread wheat). Its description in RNAcentral is "partial small subunit ribosomal RNA". The record is from RNAcentral. Lineage: Eukaryota; Viridiplantae; Streptophyta; Magnoliopsida; Poales; Poaceae.